CCCAAGUAUAAGGAAGUAUUUAUUCUUCGCGCUUCUUUACUAUUUUUAACUUAUUUAAAUAAUAUAAAUAUCUACUGAACAAGCUCGUUCAGGUCUUUAAAUAAUUUUGUGUGGACGCAAUCAACAUCGGACAAUGGGGUUAUUUGAAGGAAUUUCGAAAUUCGCUCUUAUAUCAGCAAUUUUGACUGCUGUUGGAUUUCUUGUACAUUUGAUCGGUUAUGGAGCACCAUACUGGGUAAAAAGUGGUACUUUUAAUAUUGGACUUUGGAAAUAUUGUUUUAAAAGCGAGUGUAUUGACAUCGUUAGCGAUAAAUUUACAAUUGAAGGAUGGUUGGAGGCAGUCCAAGCCUUCGAGACACUUGCCUUUCUAGCCAUACUUGCAACGAUAGUGGUUAUGGGACUAAAAUUUACAGUCAUGAAAGAGCAGAAGAUAUUGCCAAUUGUCAUCUUAAUAUUUCAGUCUGCUUCAGUUGGUCUAAUCCUUCUAGGUGUGAUCAUAUAUGGUGCCAAAAGUACUAUAACUAGCUAUGGAUUCGCGUUUGUUUUUGUGAUAAUAGCUUCGAUCAUUAUUCUCGUCGCUGGAGUCUUCAGUUUCUUGGAUUGGAGAGGCGCUUCUUCACCUGCAUAAACAGAAGUACAAUCGAAACAAGCAUCAUUAAUAUUACUACUGGACUUCCGUGUAAAUUGUUAUUGAGCUUCCGAGUACUAGUAUAUUAUUAUAAAAAUAAUAGGCUUUAGAUAUUAAUCCUGCUAUUACAAACUAGGUUGGGUGUAAAAGAUAGAAAUAUUCACCCACUAACCAUGUAUGUUUGCUAGGAAUAUUAUACAAUUACUGUCUUUUGAUGAGGUUAAUAUGCGGUUUUAUUGACUUUUGAAAAAAACUGAUAUUCACUGAGGCCGACGGCCGAAGUGAAUAUCAGUUUUUCAAAAGUCAAUUAAACCACAUGUUUACCGAAACAAAAGACAAUAAUUGUUUUAUUCCAUAUUCAAAAUCAAAUUCAUAUAGAGAAACCUACUUAUAUUAUACCAAUAUGGAAUAAUCAAAAUUAGUGUCGCUUUACAAGCACGGUGAACAAUAGGACUGUAUUUAACAUUACUUAUUCUGUAGUGUGAGGCUACAGUCCUGCAAGAGAGUUGUCUUUAAACAAAUAUAUUUUUUUUCCUUUUGUUAUUUUAUCAUUGAAGAGAACCACAAUCUUUGCAUAUUUUGAAAAACGUAUUUUUUUAUUGGCAGUGAAUUUAAAUUUAAGAGCCACGAAAGCUCGUAGAAGAAAGAAUUUUGAUUUUCCUUCAUGCCGAUUGAAUCAAUGUCCACAGAACUGAUGAAGCGAAACUUUCUCUUUGAUACAAUCAUUAAAAUACUAACAACUUUAACAUCAGUCAGUCAUAUUUUUAUGUAUAUAAAAAAUUAUGAAACAUGUCUGACGUAUUGUUUUCCAUUUUUCUCGAAGAAAUUGAAGAGAGCUUUAAAUGUAAUUCAGAAAAUUGAUACCCAUGACAUUGAAAAUAUUUUCAACCUUCACACACAUAUAUAUAUAUAUAUAUAUAUAUAUGUCUGCAUAAGUGACAACUGCAAAUUAUACCUUGUCCGUAGGAUUUCUUAUGAUUAAGAAGUAUUAUAAAGUGCCUAGAAAAUCAACCUAACAAUAUUAGAGUAGAUCUGAAUCUUUAUUUCCUCCCUAACUGGGGCUGUAAUCUGUACAUUUUCUUCUCACUUCUACGGCAACACCGCCUAGCAUUGCACAGACGCCUUAUAAUACUUACAAGAAAGUAUGAAAAACGUUGAAUAGAUGUGUAUGGAUAAAGCAGUUGCUGAGACGGCUGGUUGUUGAAAACACUUUCAAAAAGUGAGCACUUCAUACAUGAUUUUUUCUUGAUUUAAGUUGAAAUAAAUUACCAGAAUAAAA
Molecule: long non-coding RNA, 1907 nt
Organism: Mytilus californianus (California mussel)
Lineage: Eukaryota; Metazoa; Mollusca; Bivalvia; Mytilida; Mytilidae
Exons: 3
Source: RefSeq, a predicted model, not a curated record